This is a non-coding RNA of Thaumarchaeota archaeon CSP1-1, 279 nucleotides long. The record is from Rfam. NCBI's taxonomy places the organism in Archaea, Thermoproteati, Nitrososphaerota.
GCGAGCUGGUGAACGAGACGCUGCUACGGCAGAGGAAACUCCUCCCUCCAUGCAGGAAAUGUGUUCCGGCGACGGAUAGUCAGAGAUGACUGGCAACAGAAUAGAAAUUAAUCCGACCUAGCGUACAAUGAUGGCAAAACCUGAGGUUUCUAGAGAAGGAAUGAAAGAGCUGACCCACGUGGAGCAAGGCCAAACAGAACCUUAGGAUCCUGCACUUGGUUCAGGUAGGCUGCAAAGCGAAAUAUCGUUAAAACAGAAGGAGGGUUACGGCCAGCACGC